This is a non-coding RNA of Sus scrofa (pig), 11179 nucleotides long. The record is from RefSeq and is a predicted model, not a curated record. NCBI's taxonomy places the organism in Eukaryota, Metazoa, Chordata, Mammalia, Artiodactyla, Suidae.
ACCUGCAGCCUCAUGGAUGCUAGUCAGAUUCGUUUCCACUGAGCCAAGACAGGAUCUCUGUGAACUGACAGAUUGUUGUUGUUGCUGUUCAUUGUUUGUCUAGACAAGAAAUUUUACUAAAUUAUUUGCUAAAUUUCAUUCCCAUGCCUUAUUGGCUUUAUUUCUUUUGCUUCUUGCUUCAAGAAGAUUUUCCUUCAAGAGUAUUGUACAAUGUGUAUUAGAUGAUCUGAGGCCUAGUAGUCCCAACAUUAUUUUUUUCACUCUAACGUUUAAAAGAUAAUUUAAAAUAUAGCUUUAACUUUUUUCUUUUAAUGCUUCGUAAAUAGUAGUCCAUCGUCUCUUGCGCUCAGGGCUGCUGAUGAAAAGCCUGGGCUAGGUGUGUUGGUCCCACCUACAGUGUCCAGAGAGUAACUGAGGCCACGCGUGCGAGCAGAUCACCAGCUGGAACGUGAAGAGGGAGAAGAGAAGGAGCCAAGAAGGAACCCUUGAGAAAAGCCAGCAUGUAAGUGGGGGAUGAAAAAGAGGCAUGGGGCGCUGGCUUGAGAAGGAACAGCCACGGAUGGGCAGACACAGCCAGGAGUGUGUGAUGCGACCCAAGAAAGGAGGCCGUUUCCAAAAAGAGAAUGAUGAGCAUCACCAAAUAUCCAAGAGGGCAGCCUAUGGACAAGGUCAGCCUUCAUAAGAAUGGAAGUGACUCCGAGAGAAGAGAAACCAAGCAAGGACACAGAAGCUUCAAGACCUGGGUUUGGGCCGUUGCCGAGAACUAGCUGCGUCUUGGCCUUCCCACAACUUUUUGUCCCGUCCUGUUUUGGAUCCUGAGUCAGUAAAUUCCACUUCAUUCCUGAAGUUAACAUGGGGAAAAUUUCUAUUUAUUGGCACUGAGAGUUCACACCAGCGAAUGAGUAACACAAGUGCACAGGACACAUGAAGCCCUGCAGGAGUUCAGGGGAGGGAGAGUUCUUAGACUAGAAGGCCAGGGACGUUUCUGGCCUUACCUGAGGUGAGACGCAGGUCAGACCAGAUUUGGAGAGCUAGGCAGGCAACCAUCUUGACAAAUCGGAGAGGCAUCUGAAUACGAAGUGAAUAAACUCAAGGUGCAAUUAAAGUCUACACAUAAAAGUCACUAUGGUAGAAAGAAAAAGUGCUUCCCAGACACGUCCAAGUCCCAGCGCUCACAGCUGUGAAUGAGUUACCUUCACAGCAAAAGGGACUUGGCUGUUGUGAUUAACUUAAGGACCUUGAGAUUAUCCUGGAUUUUCAGGCGUGCCCAAGGUAACAAAAAGCAUCCUUGUAGGGGAACUAGGAAGGCGGGAGAGUCAGAGAAGACGUGGUGAUGGAAACAGAAGUCGGAAACAGGGAGACUUGAAGCUGCUCCAUUUCUGGCUUUGAGGAUAGAGGAAGAGGCUGCGAGCCAGGGGAGGCCGUGGCCUGCAGAGACCGGAAAAGGCAAGGAAACAGCUUCUCCCCUGGAGCCGCCAAAGGAAACCACCUGUCAACACGACACCUCAGCCCAGGGAAGCCCUCCUCAGACUUCUGACCUCCCCAAUCUCAAGUCGCCUAGUGCUAGAGAAUGUACCCUGUGUGGACGCCCCACCCGACUGUCCCGCCGGCGCCACCUUAGACUGGGCAUUGUCCUCUCGUCUGGACUGGAGCAGAACUUCAUGACUAGUUGUCUUCCAAGCCACACAGCGGCAGGAGCCCCCAGCCCCUGACGAGCCCACCCUCCGCGUGCUGCUGGAGUUCUACACAUCCGUUCACUCUAGCUGGGUCUUGUCCUUUCCUAAAAGCUUUCCAAGGUUCUGCAUCAACUCCACAGUUGACGCCAUAAAGUCUAUUCUCGUUGCAUAUGGCAUUUCGGGUCUUUCGCAUAAGCUCCUGAGAACUAGAACUGUGACCUGGUUGCUACGCAAUCCUGACACCUGUCACAGGGCUAGGUAUGGAGUGAUUACUGAAAAAAUUUUAAAAUAAACUUCUCUAUUUUUCCAGCAUCCUCUCGGGCCACUCCUCGCCUUAUCUGUAACAAUGCGACACGCCAGACUUACCCCUGUUCCCCGGAGAGUCGAUGCUCUUUCACUGGCAUGGCUAAAAUCCUGUUUUCUCUGGCAGGACUGCCUGCCGCCUUCCUUGUUACUGGGAAAGCACAGUCAUCUGUCAAAGUCCUGCUUGGGCACUGCUUCUGCUUCAAGUUUUCUCUAACCACCUCCUACCUGCCCUUCUUCCUCCCUCCUUCCUUUCCUUUCGGGAAUAGCUAUCCCAGGGGUGUGAGGUGACGUCUCAUUGGGAGGUCCCUCGCGUUCUGGACAGCACUUCUCUUCCUGGUCACUCUAAGUCCUCUCUAUGUCACAUGCUUUUCUUGAGUCUUAAAGGAAAAUUUCUUUGAAGUCAUAUGGAAGAGUGACACUUCCUAGAGGAUAACCUUCUCUUCAUUUAUGCAUAAUGACAUAGCAGGGCUGAAAUAUUUGGUGUCUUGUGGUUAAUACACAAAAUUCACAUUUUUCCUACUAUAUUGACCCUAAAUUAGUCUUUGUCUCCUCUUGGCGUGAGUUCAUUCUGACCUACUCUGUGUCUUCACUCUUUUAAUCCAGCUGUUCAGACAACCCUGCCCAAGAAUCACCAGUACAUUAAUGAAGAAACAUGCUACUUACAAAAUGUGUUUUCCAAAAUCUAGGGGCAAAUUUUAAAACAUUUUGCAUUAUGCUUUUGAUGUUUUCUCCCUUACAGAUAUAUUCCCUUUAAUCAUCAUCUCAAGGAAAUUUACUUUUUAAAAGGAAUGUAAUAGAUAUUUUAUUGACUUGUGUAUGAAAAAGGUACUUUCCUAAAAGAAAAUUAAAGUUCAUCUGUUCUGUAACAACUUUCUGAAUAAAAUACUUCAAAGUAUUUCCAACAUGUUAAAAGUUUGCACUCCAGGGGGAAAAUGCAUUGCACAAAACUAUGUAUCUCACCAAAUAAGGAGCUCAGUGAUAACUCUGAAGUUGGUUACAUGAAGCACGUGUGUAUAAAAAGAAGAAAAACAAGCAACCCAACUGAGAAUUAGUUGAGCAAGCAGUUCAUUGAAAGAGAAAGCUCCCCUCCAAACCAUCACUACCUAGGGUGGUGGGGAUCAUCCAGGAAUAAGAGAAGCAUCUGAGCAAGUUUACUAGAAGAUUUAGAAAGUUUACUAAGACGUUAAUGGAAAAGCUGGCUCUGUACCAAGAACCAAGGCCAUGCUACCCAAGGAAAUGCAAAGAUGUGAAUGUCUACCAAAGAAACUAGGUUAAGCAGGAAGGGUUACCUGAGCGCCAGGCCAACAGCUUCAACUUACUUUACUUUAUCAGAGAGCUAAUUAAUAACAUACAAACUCAAAAUAUGUUAACUAUGGUUAAUAGGAUGAGAACCGGUGCUUCUCACAAUAUCAUGGGCAUAUGUGUCUCCUGGGAAUCUUGGUAAAAGUAGAUUCUGAUUCAGUAGGUCUGGAAUUUUCUUCCGAGAUUCUGCAAUUUCUAACAAGCUCCCAGAUGAUGUCAAUACAAGUGGCCUAUAGUCCACGUUUAAACAGCAUGAUGUACACGCAUUCUUAAGUUCUGGCAAGUUGGAUGGAAAUUGCAAACUCUGGGACUUUCUAUAAACGUCGUGCUUUUCUGAUAAAAGAGCAGACGUUGUAGGCCACCACAUUCCUCUGCUUACAGCACGGAUGUGGGGCCUGCAGCUGCUGCAGCCAUUCGUGAUCCUGAGAGAUAACUCACAAAUCCAAGGCUGGUGGAGAGGAAAGCGUGUGUCCUUGAUGCCACCGAGAAGCCACCGCACCAACCCUGGACUGCUGGUCAGCGGGAAAACAAAUCCCUGUUUUGCUCAAAGCGCCUAGUAAUUAAGCUGUAUAACUGCGAACACUUCUGGUGACUACAUAUGCGCUAACCGUGAAGUAUGGACAGCAAAGCCAGCAGGACGGGGGUGGGAGGGGCAGCAAAGGGCUGAGCCGGGCUGGGACGCGGUCUUCGCAGGGCACCUGCACAAACAUCUCCUCCAGCAACAAAGUACCAAGACUACAAGGGACUAAAAAUAACCGCAGGUAUGCGCAGUUGGAACAAAUGAGGAACAAGAUACAAAAAGAUAAAAAAAAAAAACUAACGCCACUUCUGAGGAGCUGGGGGCAGAAGCAGAGUGCCGUGCAUGCACCCUGCACACACACCAUGGGGGGGGGGUCAGACCUAGGCCCCCCCUCUGGCCAGACCCCUAGACCCACCCCCGCCCUCGCCCCGAAUGAGGAACCAGCUAGCCCAUGCCUUAGGGAGUGAGCGAGGUCACCUGUUACUUGUUUUCUCUUCCUAGUACUGGAGCAGGAGCCCCAGUAAAGCCCUGACUGAAUUUCUUGUCUGGUCUUGUAUCCAUUUCUAUUAAUGAAGGAGGCAGGAACCCUGGUCAGUAAGGACACCGGGUAAUCCUCUGAGAUAAGCUCCUUGGAAGAGGUAGGCGUCUACUGUAGACCCGUGACUCCCCACUGUCUCAGGCCUGAUCCGGCUUCUCCAUGUCGAAAGAUGGUCAGGGGUCUGCUUUCCUGACGCACUGACAUUUGGGCAACGUGCAGACGGUACCCUCGGUGCCCCACAGGGAGACACACCCUUAAUUCGUUUACGUCUGAUAACUAUUCUUCAAGACAGGUCAUUAUCCUCACUCUUGAUGAGGAAGUUGAGGCACAGAGGUUAGGUAGUUUAAUAGGUUCAUCCGCUGACUGAUGAUAAACCUGGGGUCGGAACUCAGGCAGCACAACUCCAAACCCUGCAUUCUUAACCUCUUUGUCUUAGCGCGGCCCCUCAAGAUAAGAGCCUGGUAUCUGCAGCUUGGAAAAGGAGCGCAUAUGCGCAUGCGGAUUUGAACACCCAUCUCAGUAAACCUGAGUCUCCUGAGCGUCUUAACCCCAAGGUUGGAAAUCACUCUCCUUAAGGCUGCCAUCAGCGUGUCCAAGCUUGCAGCUCCACGUUAUAAACAUGUGGAGUUCUGAAGCCUCGGUUUUAGGCACAUGUUCCAUAGAGUUAUGAAUGGCUAUGACUAUAAGCAAUCACUGCUAGAAAGUGAAUAUUCUAAUUAUAAAAUAAUCCUGGGUCAUUUUAAAGACACUUUCUUAAUCGAUCAGGAAAAAGCCCUCUUCGUCUUCUCACUGGGGCAAGUGCGUGGGAUUUAGGUCUUUAUAUUAGAAUUAAAGUACAGGUACAGGCCAUUUUAUACCUCUGUGGUUUUGGCCUCUAUUUCAAACAUAAUCUUAGUACUUAUUCUUCCACCGUAAAAUAAGAAAAAAGUAAAUUUAAAUUAAAAUGAGAUAAAAUAAAACAUUAAAAUUCUAUGCAUUCUUUAGGUCUAAUCUUAAAUGAGCCAUUCCCUGACUCCACCUCCAGCCCUGACGCAGAAUUCUUUGCUGCUUCCUCCCUGCUAUCAUAUGCUUUUAUUACGGCAUUUAUCAGACUGUAUUGUGGGCCUUCACAGGUCAGUCUCUUUCACUAAAUAGUGGAUUCCUUAAGCGCAAGCACUUUUUUAUCUUCUGAGCUUAUCACAAAGCAAAUAUUCCAUAAAUAUUCAAGGGAGUUGUCUGAAGACUAUACGAUGUGUUACAUAAGAUGUUUUGCCCAGGCGAGAUUCCUCACUCUCCUCAAUUAGAGAAAUAUACGUCUUCUGGGUUAGGAAAUAAAAUUGCAAAAUAUGUGAUGAUUUGGUUUUUGCACUGGAAUUUUAUCUUUUUUUUUUUUGUAUUCUUCUACAGAUGCAACUUUGAACAAGCUAUUAAGGCCCAAUUUUCUCAUUCAUAAAAUGAGAAAUGGGAUCUACUCAUGGGAUUCUUGAGAGGAUUCAGUAAGUUAAUAGAUUUAAAGCAUGUCAUAUAGUGCUUGGCAUGUAGCAAAUGCUUAAUUAAUAUUAGCAUUUGACAACUGAGGGCAUGACCCUCUAUCUUAGAAUGGAUUCACCAGAAGUAAGCCCUGAGACAGGAAUCAUGUGUAAGCAAUUUACUAAGGACGUUCUCAAAGCCGAAGUGGCCAGGGAGGAGAGAGAGAGCACGGAAAGUGGGGUGAUGACCACAAACUCUGUCCCACGGAGGUGGCGUCGGGCUCAUCCCAUGGGGCCCUCCAGCGUGUAAAUUACGCCUUGGGACCUGUCGCAGCCUGAAGCAAAGGGCACUCAUCUGGGAGGACGUAAGCUACCUCUGGCUCUCUCUGCAUAGACGGACAAAGCGGCUCCAGAGCCCCAGGGCCAUCCUCCGGAGAAGAGUGGCAAGUGUGAGCUACUCACCGUCUCUGGUCUCUGCUUCAUCAUUUGCAGAUGGAGGAAGAUAAUGUCCACACCAAAGAGUGAUUAUGAAGGCUAAAUAAGUUAAUGCAAAGUCACAGUAAGAGUAUCUGACGUGGGUGCUUGAUAAAUAUUAGUUCUCCCUAAUCUUUAUAGGAUUCCAUAUAAUUAUAUAUAUACAUAUAAUUUCAUGUAAUUAUAUGUGUGUAUAAAAUGGAUUGUAGAGACCACUAUGACUAUAUUAAUCUGUAAGUACUUGCUCCAGGCAUAAAAUUCUUUGGACAGACUUUCUCUUGAAAGCUAUAUUGUUCAAAGGGUUUUUUUCUCCUUUGUUCUUCCAAUUCUCCUGAUUACACAAAGAAAAAUUCUUUAAUUUAGGAGUCAUAUGUCACAACAUUUAUGUAGCAUCUGCUAACAUUACGACUCCUAAAACACCGGGUACCCGGAGACCAGGGUACAGCUGGUAUGGUAUAACAGCAACAGAAGCAGCAGCCAGGGAGUCAGACGGACUGGCUCGCUGUGGGCGAGAGGAGAGUCCCACUGGGCGGCGAGUCAGAUGUCACUUCCCUUCCCGGGACAUGUGUUGCCAUCCACAACCAGACGGCCUCUCAGGUAGCUCCUAGCUCCGGAAUUCCAGCAGCAGCUACCCCAAAGCUCAGCUCCUCACUCCUGCAGUUUGGAGGAUUUCCUGCGUUGAAACCCUGUUAUUCUUCGAAGGACAGGGAAGUUCAGAAAAGGGAAAUAGGCUGGACUGGUCAGAGAAACCUUCACAGGAAGUAGAAUUUAAGCUAAAUACUGAAGAAUAAGCAGAAACUAGAAAGGUGAGUGUGGUCAAGGGUUUCAUAGUGGAAAGUAAAUUUUUUCCACAAAAUAUGAGUAUACCUACUGAUUAGAGGGAAGACUUACUACAGGCAGUGUUUGGGAGCCCAAACUGGAAACUAUAAAAUGACCAGAUUUUGGUGUAUUACGAAGCGCAAGUAAAGGCUGUACCGUAUUCUGAACGAAAAGAUAAUCCCCUGAAGACUUAGAGAAAGGAAAGACGGCAUCGUACCGAGACAAUUCGGGGUGUGCAAAAGGGGUUGGAGCUGGAAAACCGGGUGACCAAGAAUUCUGUAAGGAGGCUGCCAGAUUGCCUGAUUGUGAGAUGAAAAAUCUUUGCAUAUUGGAGGUUUUUUACCAUUUGGUGAACACUGUAAAGAUAUUAGUUGAACAGGGCAUAGUUCCUCUAAUCAUGAGAGAAAAUGAGUCAUCUCUGACUGUUCAUCCCACAUGGGGAACCUGCAGGCAGACUUCCUUGUGUUUAUAUUAAGACUGUGUAGCACUUUCAGCCGUAAAUACCUUUCCUGAUCCGAUCUGAAUGUGACAGUUUGGGGGCAGGAGCAGGAAAGAGCUAAAGUACUACUCUGUAGAACAGAGAAAGCAUUUGGAGUCCCAGGGAUUUAACUAUCCUGAAAAGAAUGGCUGAGAAGCAGAGCGGGAAGGAGAAAGGAGGAAAGCCGGUCACUAAGCAGUAAGAGCGGCCACGAAGGACCCCUUCACGCUGGGAUGUUUCACGAUCACACAAGGAUGUGUCAUUUCAUGAGGUUCCCUAUUUAAUUAAUGCAUGGGGCUUUAAAAUGACAAACAAUCCCAGCGACCUCCCUGCCAGAGUCUGGAACUAAUUUGAAAAUAGAUACAGGAGUCAUACAUACCAACAAAAUACUGAGUCGAUCAGUGGUGAAAGUGAACUAAGAAAUAUGACUUGACCGAAAGCCACAGUUGGGAUUUCUAACUUGGAAAGACCCUGCCUCCACUUUCCCCAAAGCACAGUCUUCAAGGCAGAUCCUGAGACCUGACAAGGUCGGCAGGGAACUGACCGCAGCCUCACGCAAACUGGACACCAGCGGCAGGGAGAGCCUGCUCCCACACCCGCCCUUCUCCUAGAGGCCAGGAAAGUGGUCCCACCACGGUGUGCUCGGCGCGAGGAUCUAGAGCAGCACACACUGGGCACGCUGGGCACGGGAAGCCCAGAAAAGGAGGAAGGCGCAGUGCCACAGGGUGAAUUCCAACCCCCCGCCCAGUUCUGCGUUGCUAGUGAGUACCACAUAGGUAACAGGAAUGCAGGGCUGCCUUCGGGAAAUCACAGAAGCAACUCGGCUUUGCAAUUCAGAAUGAAGCUCUUUUCCUUUUGUAAAUGAAGAUAUUACAGACAUCGUUCCUUCCAGGAAAUCGAAAGUCAAAUCACAGUUGAAUGCCUGCCUCUUUUCACAAGGAAAGAAACUGGCUGUUACUGUCUUAUCGUGUGACCAACUCAUGACCUAAAAGUCCCGUGACAGGCGACCUCUGUGUCACCGUGGUAACCGGAAGGCUGACUCUCCCUGGAGAGAAGUCCCUGCUGUUUACUAAGCUCCCAGAGAGGAGGAGCGUCUGAGGCGGGAGGUUAAUACGGAAAAAGAACCUUAAAUUAACAUCCCACUGUCUUUACUUGGCGAAUUGCUUCUCCCUUCGAGAAAUAUGAGAUUUCCCCACUCGCUGAUAAAUGUAAAACGUUUCCUCUGUGCCUCUGGGAAAACAGUGUGACCCAUUCAAAUGUGCACCCACCACGGCUUAUAAAUAAAACAGAAACAGUAGAAGAUGGAAUUAUUAACAUGGUAAAGGUAAGUUCUCCUCUAAAUGCUCACCCAUGCUGUUAAACCUAUAGAAUAGAAAUGGUUACCCAUAGGAAUCUAUUUUUUUUUUUUUUUUUUUUGUCUUUUUAGGGCCACACCACGGUAUAUGGACAUGCCCAGGCUAGGGGUCAAAUCUGAGCUGCAGCUGCCAGCCUACGCCACAGCCACAGCAACGUCAGGUCUGAGCUGCGUCUGUGACCUACACCACAGAUCACAGCAACGCCGGAUCCUUAACCCAAUGAGCAAGGCCAGGGAGUGAACCUGCGUCCUCAUGGAUUUUAGUCAGAUUCGUUUCCUCUGAGCCACAACAGGAACUCCUGGAAUCUAUUAUUAAUCAAACUUUACCAACCAUUUUCCUAAGUUAUUAUCUGAAAACUAAGCAAUAAAAAUAUGUAUUUUGAAUAAAGAUUUUUAUAUGUAAUAAAGGUAUUAGGUAGAAACAAUUCGUCGUAAUUACAUAUGCAAAAAUUUUAAACAAUUUUGAAUACUCCAUAUAUCAACCUAGAGUUCUUAUACAAAAGUGAAAUAAAAAUUAGCACAACCAAAUCCGAAAUUACUGUAUGAUAUUUGAGGACACAGGGAGGAUUUAAGGAAAAUAACCACAGCAUUAAAUGUUCAAAAUUCCACAAUCCAGGGUAAAAUUAAAGAGGAAAUCAAAACUAAAAUGAAAAUUAUGUAUCAAUAAAUGACACAUAUCCCAGUGGAACAAAGCACUGUCUAUUUGGAGCUCGAUAUAUUGAAACUUGUGGAUGUGGCCGACACAGUAUUCCAUGUACUUCUUUCACAUCUACUCCUACACAAUAAAAGACAAAAUGAACGAGGAAUCAACUUGAGAAUCCAGAAAAAGAGCUGUAUUAUAAAUCUAAAAGUAAGGAAAGCGAUAACUAAUAAUAAGAGAAGUUAAUGAAAUAAUAAGCACCAAUAACAACAGUAACCAAAAGCAGUAAAAAAUAAUUUUUAAAUGUAUCAUUUCUGCGGCUAGUACGUGUAGAGGAAAAAAUCUUUCUCGUAUAACCCCCAAACUGAAAUCUAAUUGCCUGCACAUGCGCAUCAAUCAGAGAACUCUCAGGUUGGAGUUAUUCUGCACUUACAACUACAUCCCUCCUCCACGAGAGCCAGUCACUUCUCUACCAGUCACCGCCCAGGCUUCCUGACCUCACCCCCAACCACCGCUGGCACAGUCGUGAUGCUCACGUCCCAUCACGCGGUUUGCUUAAUAAACCUUUAGGGCAACUCACUUCUAAAAAGCGGUAUCAUUAUAACGACACUGUCGUGAAAUUACAAGUCUGACGUGUUGGGCAACAGCUAAAUGUUUUCAAAGCUCCUUUUGGCCCAAUAAUAGACAAGGACGUGCAACCGUUCUGAGUGCCCUAAGUGAGCUUAUUCCCCUGAGCAUGAUUUAACUUUGACCCGCUUAGCACAAGAAAUCCCCUUUCUGAUUUUUGACCAGCCAGCCUUUGUCCCAAAUGCCUACCAGAGGUUGAGUUGAUGUGGCCCUUGUGCCUGGGCAGCCAGCUGGAAUCUGGAAGAGGCCAACCAGCUGUGGACGGUGAUGGCUCUGAGUUCCUCACUUCCUUCUUGGGAAAGGGUAUUAGAAAUUCAUCAAGGGAGAGAGAAGGAAAAUAUGCCAAGGGCGUUCAGUCCUCUUAAACCCCGAGGAGGCCCCUUUUUAGACCCCACAAAGCGUCAUUCCCUUCUGUGCUGUCAGGAACGAGUAAAGGAGACUUCAUACAUAUUUGCCUGUUUCAUGGGGCUGCAUGUCCAGUGCUCAGAGGGGGCUUUUCCCAACGUCUCUGGUAAAGAUGAAGGAUCUCUCUUUCAACCUUCUGACCAAGAGUUUCCCUAUGUUAUUGAAGGAGCAAUGGUACCACAUUGCUAUACGGUAGUAAUUGACAGAGCACUGUAGAUAAGCUAUAAUAAAAACUUCUAAAGAAAUAACUUACAUGUCCCCCAGACGCAACAGAGGACCUUUCUCCAACGUUUCAAAGAUCUUAAACAAGUUUUUCUUCAGGCAGUGUGAUAUGUUGUCAUUUGAGGUUAAAAUGAUAAUCAUUCACUAAUUCAGUCAGCCCAUCAGUCAAAAAAAUUUCCUGUACACUGACCCUAUAGGACGAGAACAAGCUUGAUUUUUUUGAAGCGGGAUUUCAAGGAAAGGUAGGAAGCACUAAGAAAGGAGUUAAGAACCUGAACCUUGGAGUUCCCGUUGUGGCUUAGUAGUUAACGAAUCCGACUGGGAACCAUGAGGUUGCGGGUUUGAUCCCUGGCCUUGCUCAGUGGGUUGA